This 108-nucleotide ribosomal RNA is filed under the name Aspergillus niger. Lineage: Eukaryota; Fungi; Ascomycota; Eurotiomycetes; Eurotiales; Aspergillaceae. The record is from RNAcentral.
AGGGUGUGGAAAACAGGGCUUCCCGUCCGCUCAGCCGUACUUAAGCCACACGCCGGGAGGUUAGUAGUUGGGUGGGUGACCACCAGCGAAUCCCUUCUGUUGUAUGUU